GCAGUCUCUACAAGGCCACGUUCGAC
This 26-nucleotide non-coding RNA is filed under the name Homo sapiens (human). The record is from RNAcentral. Lineage: Eukaryota; Metazoa; Chordata; Mammalia; Primates; Hominidae.